RNAcentral lists this ribosomal RNA (492 nucleotides) under uncultured bacterium. RNAcentral describes it as "partial 16S ribosomal RNA". It matches the Rfam family "Bacterial small subunit ribosomal RNA", at positions 29 to 507 of the family's 1533-position model. The record is from RNAcentral.
AGUGAACGCUGGCGGUAGGCCUAACACAUGCAAGUCGAACGGCAGCACAGUAAGAGCUUGCUCUUACGGGUGGCGAGUGGCGGACGGGUGAGGAAUACAUCGGAAUCUACUUUUUCGUGGGGGUUAACGUAGGGAAACUUACGCUAAUACCGCAUACGACCUAUGUGUGAAAGCAGGGGAUCUUCGGACCUUGCUCGAUUGAAUGAGCCGAUGUGUGAUUGGCUAGUUUGCGGGGUAAAGGCCCACCAAGGCGACGAUCCGUAGCUGGUCUGAGAGGAUGAUCGGGCACACUGGAACAGAGACACGGUGCAGACUCCUACAGGAGGACGCAGUGGAGAAUAUUGGAGGAUGGGCGAAUGCCUGAUCCCGCCAUACCGCGUGGGUGAAGAAGGCCUUCGGGUGUUAGAGCCCUGAUGUUGGGAAGGAAGAGCAGCAGGUUAAUACCGCGCUGUUCUGACGGUACCAAAAAAAGAAGCACCGGCUAACUUCGUG